CCGUUCAGGGGUAAACCUGCGAAACUCGAAUGAACGAACGGGGAGAUUCAUCGUCAUUCCGCGGCGUACGGCCGGUCGCCUCGAUGCUUCGUCGACUUCGGUCGCGAGGCACGGGCUCCGUCCGUCGACGUCCGUGGACGGCGUGCACUUCUCCCUCAGUAAUACAUCGCGACCCGUUCGAUGUCGGUCUAAGCGCCGUUCGGGAGCCCCACGGUGUCCCUCACGGGUCACUGUGGGACCGUGACGUGCGCCGACCGGCCGUCGGACGGUAUCAUUCAUGGAAUCGCGCACGCGUUACAGCGCGUCCGGCCCGACGCAAGGCAACGUCGUAUCCUACGUCCUGCCCGAGUGCGGACGUCGGUGCGGCGCGCCUGUCGUCGCUGCCGUGCAGUCUCGGACAUGUGCGCGUCUCUGUCUGCGAUGAUUCAGUUUCGGGCACUCGCA
This 444-nucleotide ribosomal RNA is filed under the name Pseudothyatira cymatophoroides. RNAcentral's name for it is "eukaryotic LSU rRNA". The record is from RNAcentral. Lineage: Eukaryota; Metazoa; Arthropoda; Insecta; Lepidoptera; Drepanidae.